UCAAGGCUUUCUGGGAAAUGAUAUAUAAUGAACUGAAAAAGGUAUUUAAAUAUACCUUUCUGAAGAAACCAGAGGCCUUUCUUCUGGGCAUUGUCAGCCAAUUGGUGUCAAAGAAGGACAGAACCUUUUUUAUGUAUGCUACAACAGCAGCAAGAAUACUCAUCGCAAAGUAUUGGAAGACACAAGAUCUACCCACUUUGGAAGAAUGGCAGAUGAAGGUGAUUGACUACAUGGAAUUGGCGGAAAUGACUGGCAGAAUCCGAGACCAGGGAGAAGAGUCGGUGAAAGAAGACUGGAAGCAAUUUAAAGACUAUUUACAGAAAUAUUGCAAAAUUAAGGAAUCUUAGAAGGAUGUUGGAUAGAAACUAAGAGGUUUUUAGCUGUAAUGCUUUAAGAGAUAUGAAAAAAGGUUAACAAUUGGGUAAAAGUUUAAUGGUAAGGAUUUGCUGAACUAACAAACUGAACUGGAAUACAAAAAAGGGAGGUAUGAGGAGGUCCGGGGAAAUAAGUGUAGGGAAGAUAGGUUUGGAAAAUCAAUGUCUUUUUAACUGUUUUAUUUUGUAUGUUUCCUUUUUAGUCUCUAUUUUUUUGUUAUAUUUUAAAAACGUUAUUCUUUUUUUUUUGUACUCUGUAUUUUUUUUUGUAUUUCUUGAAACUUUAAUAAAUAUCUUU
Molecule: non-coding RNA, 672 nt
Organism: Podarcis lilfordi (Lilford's wall lizard)
Lineage: Eukaryota; Metazoa; Chordata; Lepidosauria; Squamata; Lacertidae
Source: the annotation of a GenBank genome assembly